RNAcentral lists this long non-coding RNA (663 nucleotides) under Setaria italica (foxtail millet). RNAcentral describes it as "long non-coding RNA (SITA_LNC002528)". Lineage: Eukaryota; Viridiplantae; Streptophyta; Magnoliopsida; Poales; Poaceae. The record is from RNAcentral.
GAAGCUCUAUAAGGCGGCCUUCGGCGGCCGGCGGGCUUGACGCGGCAGCGGGGAACUUGAUUCGGCCGCGACAGAGCUCGAUGCGCGGGCUCGACGCGGCAGCGAUUCGGCCGCGGCAGAGUCCGAUGCGGCGGUCGGCGCGCUCGACACGGCAGCGGGGAUCUCGAUUCGGCGGCCGGUGGGGCUCGACGAGGCAGCGGGGAGCUCGAUUCGGAGGCAACGAGGUUCGAUUUGUCCACCGCGGAGCUCGAUUUCGUGGCGUUGUAACUCGACUCAUCUGUGAUGUACGUCGAUUUGCCAACGGCAAAGCUCUUGACGUGGCUCGGCGACUCACGCGAGCGCACGACUGAGCAAGCGAACCUUGCCCGUGAAGGAGGCAAGGAAAUCCUUGCCUAGCCAGGCAAGCUUGCCGAGCAAAACGAGCUUCUUCACUCACUACCAAACGCCUGGCCGUGCGAGGCGAGGCGAGGCGAGCAGUCGACGAGAAUACCAAACGCGCCCUAUGUGUCCACCACCUUCUUGUUGCAAUUGUAACCCAUGGGCGACAUGGUGGCAGGCUGGGUCCCGGUUUUUUUUUCUUCUGUUCAGGUGGUAUUGCACGGCGGAGCAGCUGGCAACGGAUGUAGGUUCAGAAGAACCGUUGAGUUUCCUUUCCUCUACGGC